UCUCAGCAUUCUUCGUCUCGCUGGUCCAGGUCAGUCGAGAUCCAGGUUUAAGAAGACGCUUUGAUUUUCACAUUUUUAACACAAUAAUUAAAAGCAAGAGCUAAGAAAUGCGUCUUAAAAAUCCGCUGCCGCAACGAGGAAUCUACAAUGUGAUGAUGUCCGGGGACUCACCAGGACUGGACUCGCGAUCGAUACCGGCAAGUUACGAUUUACCUGACGACGCACGUCCUGGAGAAUUACCACCGGUUAUUCCGUUAAGUUCAACCGGUAAAUUAAGUCACUCAAACCAUGACACCGACAACGAGACCAUUGAAGAAGUAACGACAAUUGUGAAAAAAACGCUGCCCAGUCCGGAACCACGGCCGAAAAUCUACCAGAAAAAUGGCAUCGACAGUGAUAACAAUAAUAAAUUAAAAUUGGAGAACAAAUUUGCUGAAAAUAAUAAAGAAGACAACGAUGCAUGCGUUAAUUGUCUUUACUAUACUCAACAGUUUUGCGAGUGUGUAAUACUAUGAGCGGUAAAUUGUAAAUUGUAUGUUAUAUUUUACUAUAUUAUGUAUUAAAUAUCUAAUGAGUAAUUAUUAUUAUUAUUAUUAUUAUUUUG
This 604-nucleotide unclassified non-coding RNA is filed under the name Cotesia glomerata. RNAcentral describes it as "probable serine/threonine-protein kinase DDB_G0282963, transcript variant X4". Lineage: Eukaryota; Metazoa; Arthropoda; Insecta; Hymenoptera; Braconidae. The record is from RNAcentral.